UCAGCUGGCCCAGGUAGAGCAAUCCCUCCCGGGGGGCUCUCAUGAGCGGAUCCGGGCACCCCGGGAGGUGGCGGGGACUACCUUUCCCAAGAUGCCGUGCUCUGGGUUUCGUUCGGCGCUAAGAGUAGAGACCCGUGAUUGAGAUCUUCCCCGUCAAUUAGAAGAGGGGCCAUGUGGAGGAUGCCUUGAUCUGUGGCCAAGAUCAAUUGAAGAGAGGAUGCUGGACUGGCAGAGUUAUGUUUUGAUGUGCAGUUGUCAAUUCUGAAGAGUAACCUGAGCAAUGGAAAGAAGACAAACAGCUGGAGCACACCAGUACUGUGGCUUCCCAGGCACGGCUAAACCACCUGAGACCUUCAAGCCAAAGAUUCCAUUGACCUGGACUCUCCAGGGACAGCUUCAAGCAUUGGCCAUCCUCAAGUCUUCCUAGGUUGGCCCGUCAGGGAGGGGAGUAGACUUCUGAAAGAAUAUGGUUGACCUUGUUAUACAAGAGAUCAGAGAGAGAAGAAAUACAAGAGAGAAUGAGAAGGAAAAGGAGGAGGGAAAGAAAAAGGAAAAGUGGAAUAAACCAAGAGAGAUGUGUCAAGAUGAUAAAAUUGAGGAAUCAGGAGGAUUUUGAACACAGGAUGUCACACUACAGUCUAAACCUUCCUUGUUCACUAAGCUAAACCCUCAUAUUUGGAGACUACUGAAUGAGAAGAAUAAUGCAAUGUGUUGAAUGCCUACAACACCUCAAGGACCUUUUUUUCAUCUUUUACUUUUUAAAAUUUUAUUGUAGUAAGAACACUUAACAUGAGAUCUACCUUUCUAAAAAAUUGUUAAUUGUAGACUACAUUAUUGUUGACUAUAGGUAUAAUGCUGUAUAGCAGGUCUCUAGAGCUUAUUAAUCUUGCUUGAUUGGAACUUUAUGCACACUGAUUAGUAACUCCUCAUUUCUCUCUCCCCCUAGACCCUGGUAACCACAAUUCCACUCUUUGAUUCUAUGAAUUUGACUAUUUUAGAUACCUCACAUAAAUGGAAUCAUGCUGUAUUUACCUGUGACUGGCUUAUUUCACUUAGCAUAGUGUCCUCAAAGUUCACUUAUGUUGCCACAUAUUCCAGAAUUUCAUUGUUUAAAAGGCUGAAUAAUAUUUCAUCAUGUGUAUAUACCAGAUUUUCCUUAUCCAUUCAUCUGUCGAUGGACAUUUAGGUUAUUUCCACAUCUUGGCUUUUGUGAAUAAUGCUGCAAUGAACAUAGCUGUGUUAAUAUCUUUUUGAGACCCUGAUUUCAAUUCUUUUGACUAAAUACCCAAGGGUGGGAUUACUGGAUCAUAUGGUAGCUCUAUUUUUACUUUUUUGAGCAACUCACAUACUGUUUUCCAUAGUGGCUGCACCAUUUUGCAUUCCUACAACAGUGUACAAGGGUUCCAAUUUCUCCACUUAUAUGUUUGUCCUCACCAACAUAUUUCAGCUUAAAUAAUUUGUUUUUGUUCUCUCUGGUCAACACGUGCAUGUGGCUAAGACUGGUUAUCUGUGCCCAUUUCUAUCUGUUACUUGUCGUUGGCUGUGACCUUAUCAUUUGGGGUUCCAAUAAAGGACGGCCUGGAGCUGGACUGGACCGCAUGGAGCCACUCCAGGCCACAUGGACCCUCUGGCCACUCUGGUCUGGACUCAUUCCUCCUCCCACCAGGACUUAUAAGGAACUGAGCCAGCUCCCAAGGGUAAAGAUAGGUCACUAGGCAGAUGACCAUGUACCUUUAACUGCUGACCCUGAUUUGUGUGUACUGGCUUUGAGGCAGGAUUCUUGUGGCUACUUUUUACUCUGAGUUUAUAUUUAAGCAAAGAUUAGAUUUGCUGUGUGCCUCUCACUUACACAUGAAAGGUUGGGUGUACAUCAUUGGGUAGUAUCCCACAAAACCAAUGGGCUAUAGAAGUCAAUUGUGCCCUGUAUAAGUGAUCAACUUGGGCAAUCAAACAUUUGAGUGAUAAAAAUGACUAGAAAUUUUGUAAAGGUCAAUUUCAGGAUAUUGACAAGUGUUUGAGCAGCCUUUGCUUGCAAGUAUUAUGCUAGGUAAUUUGGGGGAUACAGAGGUGUGCUAUCAAAGUCUGGAAUGAUGAAAACAACUGGGAUCAGGCUGUGCAGUACUGUACUGAAAACCAAGCCUGCGCUGACUGAAGGUAAUUAGGAAAAGGAGCUACCAAUGGGCAAAUGCUAAGAUGAGAGAGACGGCCACUUCACAGUGCAGUAAAAUGAUCUUUCCUUCUGUCUAUAUGAGUGAUCACUUCUACAUAUUUACAAAACAGAUGCAAUGAUUAUUGGUGGUUUGUGUAGAGUAUGUCUUCGUUGGCCAAAUAAGUUAGGGAAUGCUAGCUUAAGAAAAAUGUAUACAGGUUUCUCUCCCGUAGGACCUUUCCAAACUUUUUGUAUGCUAAUUUUAAAGCUCUAAGACAGAGCUGAACUUUCUGGUUUCCCACAUUUUGCACUUUGAAAACAUUUUCAUAUGCGACAUCUUCUGGAACUAGUCUUUGGAAAGACUAGAAACAAUGGUUUAACAUUUUCCAAGUCAUAUGCCUCUCAUUUCAUGUUGUCUUUCUGUUUAGGUCUGGAGGAGAAAAUCUAGGCAGUAUAAUUUAGUGGAAAAGUGACCAGAGAGUAGCCCAAGACCUGGGCUCAUCACUCAAGCCUGUUUUGGUUUCACCUUCUAUGAAAAUAAAUUCUUUCCUACUGUCCUCAACAAAGUGAGCCUACUUGAGACUCAUUGACCCAGAGACUGCAUUGGCCAAAGGAUUUCCGGUUUCCCAAGUCAGGGAACAAAUCCAGCCAUAAAUCCUUUAAAUGCAAUCCCAAUAUGCAUUUUCCUUUUCUUUUCUCAAAAUAUUCAGCUCUGAGCCCUUACUUUGUGGCUCAUUUUGUGUUUGUCCAAGGCAACCCAAAGAAAUGGAGUUAGUCAGUGCUAGAAAUGUCCGAAAGGGAUGCAUCAGUUCAAGUCUCCUGUUUUACAGACAAGGAAUCUGAACUUUGGAGUUUGACUUUCCCUUGGAUUAUAGUGCCAGUCAGUGUGAGGGACGGUAAGGAAAUUAAGGUCACCUGACUCAGUCUAUGCCACUUCCUAUAGCAGUGUACAGAGACCCUAGGAUCACCCUGAGGUUUGAGUCCCUUGACAAAAGAUUAACCUAGGGGAAAUGCCAGGGAAAUUCCUCAGUUUCACCCAGAUCCUCUUGCUCUUCUCAGAAGUAGUAAUUCUCAACUUAAAUAUUGUUGCUCUUAUAUCUUGGGGAAAACUGUUCAACACAAGCGAUUAAGGCUUAAAAACUCCAUUGGUCUGUUAGGGAUUUACCUAACUCUGUCCCAGAACUACAAAAAAAAAAAGAAUCCCCCCAAAACAACACAAAAAAUCCUAUUAACAGAUUCUAGAUGCUGUUAUAUCAAGGGUCCCGGGAAAUGAUUGAGUUUAACACUUGAGGGCUACAGAAUGAGAGCUAGGGUAAAUGCAUGGUGUUGCUAAACCUCAGGCAAUUUAACUGCGGCUGCCAAGGCAUCCACAGUAAGACUUUUUCAAUUGGUAUAUUUAUACUUUCUUUACUUAGUAUUGAUUCUAAAUAAGGAUAAAACCCAUCCUUGAUGGGAAGCCUAUGAGUAAGAACAGAUGAAUUAAAGUUUGUUUUAUCUUCCCACUUUCCUUUCGCUGUAGCCAAAAAAAGCCUUCCCUUUGGAGGCAAACGGGAUGUGUUCUAGAGGCAGCAGCCACUGCCUUCAGAACAACUGCAUGAUGAAGUGGUAGAAGAGGCUAGAGCAAGAGGAAUGUUGGGUUCUGGUGCAGGUCCAGGGCUUCCUAAACCUUUUGUCUGUAAAACUGGGGGAAAUAGACCAUCUUAAAGGUCCACAGGUCUCCAAACUUCCCCUGCUCCCUGUUGUAUAUUGAUGCCAGGGGAUAUCAUAUUCUAAACUCUAUAUUCUUCUUAAAACACCUGCUUUGGGGCCACCAAUAAAGCAAGUUCUCUCUCUCUUUUAGGUGUUGCAACAGACUGACUUCACUGUAGAUAUUUACUCAUUGAUUAUUUGUGGACUUGAGAAUAAUCUCUGGGUAGUUUGCUUAAUGGCAGAAAAUGAGUGGACAGAAUGAGUGACCAAAGUAUGAUUGUUUAGCUAUUAGCUGCUCAUGGUUGUGUGAGUGGGAACAGGCUUUGGAAAUACAGAAGUUUUAGUUCUGGAAAAUUCUAGCUGAAAAAUGUCAGGCAAGUUAUUAAGUCGGUUUGUAUCUCAGUUUUCUUCUCUCUAAAAUGGACAUAAUAAUCACCUUGCUGUUUUUUGUCAGAGUAAAAUGAGCUAACAUAUUCAAAGAGCCCAAUAUAAUGCUUAUUAUGUGAUGGGUAAUAAAUAUAAGCUGUUAUCAAUAAAAAUCACAUAGGAAUUUUAUCUUUUUGUCGUUUUCUUGGUGUUUUCACAGAGUCCGGAAAACUAUAUCUGUUUCAAAAGUGUUCGUUGAAUAAAGAAAUAACUCCCUUGACAUAUUUUAAAUUCCUAUUAUCCCUAUAGAGCUGUCAUAAAAUUUCAUAUAAUGCUACUAAAUGAAUUGAGAAUAGAAUUGUUUGAUAAGGUAAGCAGAGGUAUGAUGAUAUGAUGUUACAAUGUUCUAGACUAUUUAAUUUAUUCACCAAAGUAGCAGCUCCAUGGGGCAACACUUGGGAUAUAUUUAUUCAAUCGGAUCUAUCUUGAGAAUUUUCUGUGCACUGCCUUCUGUACUUGGAGGACAGCAAUGGUCAGCAAGAGAGGUCAUAAUGAUGGACAAUCAAUAAUUAUGCCUGGGCCUGGACAUAGGGUUGUAGAUGGAUGAUUUAACACAAGCCAUAGCAACAAUAAUCUUAUGAGGUAGACAGUAGUAUUGUCCUCACUUUACAAAAAUGAAAAUGAAUCCCAGAGAGACAGAAUAACUAGUCCAAGUUUAUAGAGGUGUAAGAGGCGGGCACUGUACUCAAACCCCGGCACUCCGACUCUCCAAGUCCGCUGUUACUACUCUGCCAUGUGAGAUUUCGUCCUUUAGGAAAUUUACACUCUAAUUAAAUAAAGUCAAUCAAUGCAAUGUAAGACAUGCUCCAAUCCAAGGAACACUUAGGUGAUUUGGAGCACAUGGGAGGUACUAUCUGAAAAGCAAUUGAUUUGCUAGGCUUUCUGCCUUUUUUCCCCCCAGCUACUUCCUCACUUAUACUUGAAAGUUUCUUGACGGGUUAUUGAUGGGUUUUCCCCUCCCUUUCUCAUAGAACUGCUGUGAUUCAUUUAGCUGGAGGUUUCAACUGAGAGGGAAAGUACCAGCCUUUGGUCAUGUUUACUCACUGGCUGUCUAUGGGGGUUACGUGUGGUCAUCCAAAGACAUCAAACACUCCAUUGUAUUCAGAACAAUGCUGCUGCUGGCCUGUGAGAAGGAACUAGAUAACCCCUCUGCUAUCUCUAGUUUCUCUGAUACAGUUCUGCAAACAGUGCAGCAGCUAUUCUCAUAAAACCUCCUACAUGAACUUUGAUUCUUUCGAGGGUGGCUCUGGAAAAACCAAGGAGAGAAGAUAGAAUUAGUAUAGCAGUAGCUGGCUGGCCAGGUUUAUUCAGAUCCUACAUGUACAACAGCAUUUCUAGGAGCCAUUAGGAUCCUAAGGAGAAAGAACAAUCAAAAAUAGGUGUCUUUCUCUCACCUGCCUGAUACGAAAUUUGACAUUGCCCCAUUAGAGUGGCCCAUAUUAGAUUCUUUAUAGACAAGAGCUUUCUCUGGAUUAAGGUUUUUGGUUUUCUAUUGCAUUGAUUUAUUAGUACCUUAUCUUAGGGGCUGCUUACUUGAUUAAUUAAUGCGUUCACAUCUGAUUGUCACUUGGGAGAGACUGUGAGAGAGUAGGGUUCUGAUACAGAGAGAUGUGGGGGAGGAUUCUGCAGGAUGGGUGGAGACAAGCCAAAGCAUGCCAGAAGGCAUUGAGAACCAAGGGAAGAACAUCUUUCAUAGUUGGGAAGAAAGGGAGUUGGGAAAUAACAAGGCAAAUUCCCUUUGACCUUAGCCUGGUCCAACUGUCUUGCUUACAAAUAUUACUUCCAUUCAUUCAUUCAUUCUUCAUUUAUUUAGUUAACUCUUCUCCAGACACAGUACAAGGCAAAUCACCAAAAAGAUUACAAAGUGGAGGGAAACUCAGUCCCUCCUUCAAGUUCACAAUCUAAGAAGGGACAUAUGUGUGCACAAUUAGGACUGCAGAGGGCCUGGUUUUAGAAGGGAGGUGUGCGCACAGUGGCAUAGAGCCAUGAAACUUAGGUCCUUUUUAUCUGGGUCCUGAGAAAGUGCAAUAGAAGACGGAGGGGCAGGUGUGGCUGGGACUCAGGGUGAAUCUUCUCCAGUUCACCUCCUCAUUGGUGGAGUUGCCUUCUAUGGGGGUACUUGCCCACAGCCUGGGGAAACCUGCCAGCAGCACCUUGACCUUGUGUAAGCUGUUUUGCUGAGUAAAUCUGGCCAAGGCAGGGGUGUGCAGGUAGAUAAUGAGAAUGCUAACAAUUACAGCUAGCAGUUUUUUGGUACUUUUUAUGUGCCAGACGCCAUAAUAGAAUACUUAAUGAUCUUGGCAACCCUAUAAGUAGUCUUAUUAUUCCCAUUGUACAGAUAAGGAAACUGAUGCUAAGGGAGGUUAAGUAUCAGGCCCAAGGACACACAAGUUAAGUGGCAGAGCUGGGAUUUCCUUCAGCAGUUCAACUUUACCUCCUCAGCCUGAAUAAGGAUAUCCAGCACUUCCUAACACAGGUUAUGAAAAGAUGGCUGUUCAUCUUUUGCUCGGCAUUGUUAUAAAGCCUGGAUUUUUGGUUCCAUACAUUGAUUUUGAAUUGGAAGACUCAAAGUCAGCCCCAAACCUGCCACUUGCUACCUGAGAACUCUUUGGAAAGGUACAAGAUUCUUCGAGGCACAGAUCCUUUCCUGUGCUGUGUGCCUAUGGUUGCCCCCAUGUUUUUGUAAGACUCUACUCCUCUAAUAGAAGUUGAUUUGGACUCAACUGGACCAGUUAAGAUCCUUCCCCAGGAUUUGGCUUGACCCAGAGAAAGCAUCUCUGCAGUGGUUGAAGUUCUAUGAUGUGUAACUUACGAACUGUCAGUAGCCAUGUUUUCCUGCCAAUGAAGAAUACUGGUCUACAGUGAGAGAGAAUAAAGCCAACAUGCAGAAAGAAACAGAGGCAGAAACAAGCCUGGAUUUAUCCACUCGGUACAGGAUGAGAAUAAGGAGUGAGGUGUGCUUGCUUGUAGGAACCAAGGCAGAACAUUGCCAGAUGGCCAAACCACAAGACCAAUCCAAACCAAAAGGUCCAAUAUGGCCAUGGAGUGCUGUGUGCAAUAGAAAAUGUGUGCAAAAGGUGCUGUGUGCAAGAAGGAAAGGUCUGAACAUGCCCCCAAAUGCCCACACCAGAGUGAUGAUGCAGAGAGCUCCCCGCCUUCACAUCCCACAGGAACCCUGCUCACCUUCCCUUUGAGAAGGUACUUUACAGCAUGAGCUCUACCUCCUCCAUUUGUUGAUCAAUGAAUAACGUUUCUGCUCUGCUAUUCCCAACCCCAGUCUCCUUCUAUUGGUGCCAGCAGCUCAGGGCAAAAGGGCCCACUUGCGGGUCACUGGUCCCUUAGGGCUCAUUAACAAUACAGGUGAAUGGGGAAUUAUUAGGAGUGCAAUGUCUAAUCCAUGACACUAAAUUAAAUCUCAGUGGGAAUUCUUUAUCAACUCUGUGGCCAUUCUAUCCCAUAACAGUAUAGUUAAGCAUUUAUAUAUAGAUAAU
Non-coding RNA from Equus caballus (horse), 7755 nucleotides. The record is from RefSeq and is a predicted model, not a curated record. NCBI's taxonomy places the organism in Eukaryota, Metazoa, Chordata, Mammalia, Perissodactyla, Equidae.